ACUUAAAUUGAAGAGUUUGAUCAUGGCUCAGAUUGAACGCUGGCGGCAGGCCUAACACAUGCAAGUCGAACGGUAGCACAGAGAGCUUGCUCUCGGGUGACGAGUGGCGGACGGGUGAGUAAUGUCUGGGAAACUGCCUGAUGGAGGGGGAUAACUACUGGAAACGGUGGCUAAUACCGCAUAACGUCGCAAGACCAAAGAGGGGGACCUUCGGGCCUCUUGCCAUCAGAUGUGCCCAGAUGGGAUUAGCUGGUUGGUGAGGUAACGGCUCACCAAGGCGACGAUCCCUAGCUGGUCUGAGAGGAUGACCAGCCACACUGGAACUGAGACACGGUCCAGACUCCUACGGGAGGCAGCAGUGGGGAAUAUUGCACAAUGGGCGCAAGCCUGAUGCAGCCAUGCCGCGUGUAUGAAGAAGGCCUUCGGGUUGUAAAGUACUUUCAGCGGGGAGGAAGGUGUUGUGGUUAAUAACCGCAGCAAUUGACGUUACCCGCAGAAGAAGCACCGGCUAACUCCGUGCCAGCAGCCGCGGUAAUACGGAGGUGCAAGCGUUAAUCGGAAUUACUGGCGUAAAGCGCACGCAGGCGGUCUGUCA
Molecule: ribosomal RNA, 595 nt
Filed under: Salmonella enterica subsp. enterica serovar Agona str. 241981
Lineage: Bacteria; Pseudomonadati; Pseudomonadota; Gammaproteobacteria; Enterobacterales; Enterobacteriaceae
Description: bacterial SSU rRNA
Rfam family: Bacterial small subunit ribosomal RNA
Source: RNAcentral